AGCGAACGCUGGCGGCAGGCUUAACACAUGCAAGUCGAACGGGCGUAGCAAUACGUCAGUGGCAGACGGGUGAGUAACGCGUGGGAACAUACCUCUUGGUUCGGAACAACACAGGGAAACUUGUGCUAAUACCGGAUAAGCCCUUACGGGGAAAGAUUUAUCGCCGAGAGAUUGGCCCGCGUCUGAUUAGCUAGUUGGUAGGGUAAUGGCCUACCAAGGCGACGAUCAGUAGCUGGUCUGAGAGGAUGAUCAGCCACAUUGGGACUGAGACACGGCCCAAACUCCUACGGGAGGCAGCAGUGGGGAAUAUUGGACAAUGGGCGCAAGCCUGAUCCAGCCAUGCCGCGUGAGUGAUGAAGGCCCUAGGGUUGUAAAGCUCUUUUGUACGGGUAAGAUAAUGACGGUACCGUAAGAAUAAGCCCCGGCUAACUUCGUGCCAGCAGCCGCGGUAAU
This 453-nucleotide ribosomal RNA is filed under the name uncultured bacterium. RNAcentral describes it as "bacterial SSU rRNA". It matches the Rfam family "Bacterial small subunit ribosomal RNA", at positions 29 to 524 of the family's 1533-position model. The record is from RNAcentral.